RNAcentral lists this long non-coding RNA (304 nucleotides) under Brachypodium distachyon (stiff brome). RNAcentral describes it as "long non-coding RNA (BDIS_LNC000353)". Lineage: Eukaryota; Viridiplantae; Streptophyta; Magnoliopsida; Poales; Poaceae. The record is from RNAcentral.
GACUCAUCAGUAACGGUCAAGCUACACGCCCGACACUGAUAUGGAUUAGAAGAAAAUUAAAAAAACGAGGCCGGCCACAAGCCCGCCCCGAAUCCACAAAUAAAUAAAAAAUUGCUGGCUUCUCAAGGACACGGUGCCGCCGCCGGUGCUCCAGGCCCCCCGCGCUAAUGCUCCUCCACAUGCCGGUGGAAGAAGGUCACCGGAUCCGGUGCCGACGAGGAGAGAGCGAGCCGCUACGAGAGAUCGAGAGACAGUGAGAAAUAAGGGGAAUAGAGAACUGAGAGAGAGGGAGGGGGCAUACCUG